UACGUAGGGUGCGAGCGUUAAUCGGAAUUACUGGGCGUAAAGCGUGCGCAGGCGGUUUUGUAAGCCAGAUGUGAAAUCCCCGGGCUUAACCUGGGAAUGGCAUUUGGGACUGCAAGGCUUGAGUGCGGCAGAGGAGACUGGAAUUCCCGGUGUAGCAGUGAAAUGCGUAGAUAUCGGGAGGAAUACCGAUGGCGAAGGCAGGUCUCUGGGCUGACACUGACGCUCAUGCACGAAAGCGUGGGGAGCAAACAGG
RNAcentral lists this ribosomal RNA (253 nucleotides) under uncultured bacterium. Its description in RNAcentral is "partial 16S ribosomal RNA". It matches the Rfam family "Bacterial small subunit ribosomal RNA", at positions 524 to 776 of the family's 1533-position model. The record is from RNAcentral. RNAcentral also lists the same sequence under 1 other name.